RNAcentral lists this ribosomal RNA (1515 nucleotides) under Bacteroides fragilis str. S6L3. RNAcentral describes it as "bacterial SSU rRNA". It matches the Rfam family "Bacterial small subunit ribosomal RNA". Lineage: Bacteria; Pseudomonadati; Bacteroidota; Bacteroidia; Bacteroidales; Bacteroidaceae. RNAcentral also lists the same sequence under 3 other names. The record is from RNAcentral.
GAGUUUGAUCCUGGCUCAGGAUGAACGCUAGCUACAGGCUUAACACAUGCAAGUCGAGGGGCAUCAGGAAGAAAGCUUGCUUUCUUUGCCGGCGACCGGCGCACGGGUGAGUAACACGUAUCCAACCUGCCCUUUACUCGGGGAUAGCCUUUCGAAAGAAAGAUUAAUACCCGAUGGCAUAAUGAUUCCGCAUGGUUUCAUUAUUAAAGGAUUCCGGUAAAGGAUGGGGAUGCGUUCCAUUAGGUUGUUGGUGAGGUAACGGCCCACCAAGCCUUCGAUGGAUAGGGGUUCUGAGAGGAAGGUCCCCCACAUUGGAACUGAGACACGGUCCAAACUCCUACGGGAGGCAGCAGUGAGGAAUAUUGGUCAAUGGGCGCUAGCCUGAACCAGCCAAGUAGCGUGAAGGAUGAAGGCUCUAUGGGUCGUAAACUUCUUUUAUAUAAGAAUAAAGUGCAGUAUGUAUACUGUUUUGUAUGUAUUAUAUGAAUAAGGAUCGGCUAACUCCGUGCCAGCAGCCGCGGUAAUACGGAGGAUCCGAGCGUUAUCCGGAUUUAUUGGGUUUAAAGGGAGCGUAGGUGGACUGGUAAGUCAGUUGUGAAAGUUUGCGGCUCAACCGUAAAAUUGCAGUUGAUACUGUCAGUCUUGAGUACAGUAGAGGUGGGCGGAAUUCGUGGUGUAGCGGUGAAAUGCUUAGAUAUCACGAAGAACUCCGAUUGCGAAGGCAGCUCACUGGACUGCAACUGACACUGAUGCUCGAAAGUGUGGGUAUCAAACAGGAUUAGAUACCCUGGUAGUCCACACAGUAAACGAUGAAUACUCGCUGUUUGCGAUAUACAGUAAGCGGCCAAGCGAAAGCAUUAAGUAUUCCACCUGGGGAGUACGCCGGCAACGGUGAAACUCAAAGGAAUUGACGGGGGCCCGCACAAGCGGAGGAACAUGUGGUUUAAUUCGAUGAUACGCGAGGAACCUUACCCGGGCUUAAAUUGCAGUGGAAUGAUGUGGAAACAUGUCAGUGAGCAAUCACCGCUGUGAAGGUGCUGCAUGGUUGUCGUCAGCUCGUGCCGUGAGGUGUCGGCUUAAGUGCCAUAACGAGCGCAACCCUUAUCUUUAGUUACUAACAGGUUAUGCUGAGGACUCUAGAGAGACUGCCGUCGUAAGAUGUGAGGAAGGUGGGGAUGACGUCAAAUCAGCACGGCCCUUACGUCCGGGGCUACACACGUGUUACAAUGGGGGGUACAGAAGGCAGCUAGCGGGUGACCGUAUGCUAAUCCCAAAAGCCUCUCUCAGUUCGGAUCGAAGUCUGCAACCCGACUUCGUGAAGCUGGAUUCGCUAGUAAUCGCGCAUCAGCCACGGCGCGGUGAAUACGUUCCCGGGCCUUGUACACACCGCCCGUCAAGCCAUGGGAGCCGGGGGUACCUGAAGUACGUAACCGCAAGGAUCGUCCUAGGGUAAAACUGGUGACUGGGGCUAAGUCGUAACAAGGUAGCCGUACCGGAAGGUGCGGCUGGAACACC